AUUGAACGCUGGCGGCAGGCCUAACACAUGCAAGUCGAGCGGAUGAAGGGAGCUUGCUCCUGGAUUCAGCGGCGGACGGGUGAGUAAUGCCUAGGAAUCUGCCUGGUAGUGGGGGAUAACGUCCGGAAACGGGCGCUAAUACCGCAUACGUCCUGAGGGAGAAAGUGGGGGAUCUUCGGACCUCACGCUAUCAGAUGAGCCUAGGUCGGAUUAGCUAGUUGGUGGGGUAAAGGCCUACCAAGGCGACGAUCCGUAACUGGUCUGAGAGGAUGAUCAGUCACACUGGAACUGAGACACGGUCCAGACGCCUACGGGAGGCAGCAGUGGGGAAUAUUGGACAAUGGGCAAAGCCUGAUCCAGCCAUGCCGCGUGUGUGAAGAAGGUCUUCGGAUUGUAAAGCACUUUAAGUUGGGAGGAAGGGCAGUAAGUUAAUACCUUGCUGUUUUGACGUUACCAACAGAAUAAGCACCGGCUAACUUCGUG
RNAcentral lists this ribosomal RNA (483 nucleotides) under uncultured bacterium. RNAcentral describes it as "partial 16S ribosomal RNA". It matches the Rfam family "Bacterial small subunit ribosomal RNA", at positions 30 to 507 of the family's 1533-position model. The record is from RNAcentral.